This 1259-nucleotide ribosomal RNA is filed under the name uncultured bacterium. Its description in RNAcentral is "partial 16S ribosomal RNA". It matches the Rfam family "Bacterial small subunit ribosomal RNA", at positions 224 to 1502 of the family's 1533-position model. The record is from RNAcentral.
GAUGAGCCCGCACUUGAUUAGUUUGUUGGUGGGGUAAUGGCCUACCAAGACUGUGAUCAAUAGCUGAUUUGAGAGGAUGAUCAGCCACAUUGGGACUGAGACACGGCCCAAACUCCUACGGGAGGCAGCAGUGGGGAAUCUUGCACAAUGGAGGAAACUCUGAUGCAGCGAUGCCGCGUGAGUGAAGAAGGCCCUUGGGUUGUAAAGCACUUUCACUGGUGAAGAUGAUGACGGUAGCCAGAGAAGAAGCCCCGGCUAACUUCGUGCCAGCAGCCGCGGUAAUACGAAGGGGGCGAGCGUUGUUCGGAAUUACUGGGCGUAAAGGGCGCGUAGGCGGUCUUUUAAGUUAGGCGUGAAAGCCCCAGGCUCAACCUGGGAACUGCGCUUAAUACUGGAAGACUAGAAAACGGAAGAGGGUAGUGGAAUUCCCAGUGUAGAGGUGAAAUUCGUAGAUAUUGGGAAGAACACCAGUGGCGAAAGCGGCUACCUGGUCCGAUUUUGACGCUGAGGCGCGAAAGCGUGGGGAGCGAACAGGAUUAGAUACCCUGGUAGUCCACGCCGUAAACGAUGUCUGCUAGAUGUCGGGGGGUUGCCCCUCGGUGUCGCCGCUAACGCAUUAAGCAGACCGCCUGGGAAGUACGGUCGCAAGAUUAAAACUCAAAGGAAUUGACGGGACCCCGCACAAGCGGCGGAGCAUGCGGCUUAAUUCGAUGAUACCCGUAGAACCUUACCUGGACUAGACAUAUAGGGAAAAGCUAUAGAAAUAUAGUGUGCGUAAGCGCCCUAUACAGGUGGUGCAUGGCUGUCGUCAGCUCGUGUCGUGAGAUGUUGGGUUAAGUCCCGCAACGAGCGCAACCCCUGUCCUAUGUUGCCAGCAAGUAAUGUUGGGGACUCAUAGGAGACUGCCGGUGAUAAACCGGAGGAAGGUGGGGACGACGUCAAGUCAUCAUGCCCCUUAUGUCCAGGGCUGCACGCAUGCUACAAUGGCAAGUACAACGAGUCGCAAUACCGCGAGGUGGAGCAAAUCUCUUAAAGCUUGUCUCAGUUCGGAUAGGAGUCUGCAACUCGACUCCUUGAAGUUGGAGUCGCUAGUAAUCGCAAAUCAGCUAAGUUGCGGUGAAUACGUUCUCGGGGUUUGUACACACCGCCCGUCAAGUCACGGAAGUCGGCAAUACCCGAAGCCAGUGGUCUAACCCUUUAGGGAAGAAGCUGUCUAAGGUAGGGUCGGUAACUGGGACUAAGUCAUAACAAGGUAACCG